This is a ribosomal RNA of Zophobas morio, 163 nucleotides long. RefSeq annotates it as 5.8S ribosomal RNA. Lineage: Eukaryota; Metazoa; Arthropoda; Insecta; Coleoptera; Tenebrionidae. The transcript has a single exon. The record is from RefSeq and is a predicted model, not a curated record.
AACUUUUAACGGUGGAUCUCUUGGCUUGCGCAUCGAUGAAGAACGCGGCAAACUGCGAUAAGUGGUGUGAACUGCACACGUGAAUCAUCGAGUCUUUGAACGCAUCUUGCGGUCUUGGCGCCUUUUUAGCAAGAUUGCCAGGACCAUGCCUGUUUGAGUAUCA